ACGAUCUCUGGGCUGAUCCAAGUCAGGCUAAGACUAACUCACAAAUGGAAUAAGAAUUUAGUCUGUAAAGCUAAAACUAGUGAGUAGGAUGAUUUAUUUAAGCUUUAGUUCAUGACAUCUCUUACCUUUUGAGACAUAGCCAGCCAAAUGCAAAGCCUAAUGAUAAGCCAACAAGAUGACGGACACUUGGAGGAACCCGUCUUGGAUGAAGAAUAAUACGACUGGCAACGCCUCAGACAACUUCUGAUGUUUUAAGACUUCUUACAAAACUAUACUGCAUUCUGUGGAUUACUUCUACUUGUUUAUCCGUUGCUUGAAUAAUUUAUUGCAGAAUAAAGCCUUUCUAGGAUUUAUAAUGAUAUUAGCACAACAAGACCUCUGACAAAUAAUAUGCAGGAUAUAUUUAUUAAAGCAUGACGUGUGACA
This is a long non-coding RNA of Actinia tenebrosa (Australian red waratah sea anemone), 426 nucleotides long. RefSeq lists it as uncharacterized. Lineage: Eukaryota; Metazoa; Cnidaria; Anthozoa; Actiniaria; Actiniidae. The record is from RefSeq and is a predicted model, not a curated record.